GGGGGUGUCCUGGCUUCGACGGGGGUAGUGAGAUGGCUUGGUGCAUGCCGAGGGGGCGACUUUCCUCGUAAAUCCAGUAGCAAAACUCAUAGUUGCCAACGACGACAACUACGCUCCCGUUGCUCUCGCUGCCUAAGAAGUAGCCUGACAACGGUCGGCCCAUAUAGAGGCUGAGCCCCGGACCCACUUGUGCUUGUGCUCGUGGCAAUCCGGGUCACUAUCACAAGAUCGCCCAAAGCUGCCGCCUGUCGGCCAGGGCUAAAUCAAGCAGGCUGGUCCUUCGAUGCGCUUUGCACAUCGUGCUGUCGAGGGGCGAGAUCCAACGGUGAGCUAAGCAUGUAGUACCGGGCGUCAAGCGCCUUCGGACGCGGGUUCGACUCCCGCCACCUCCACCA
Molecule: transfer-messenger RNA, 395 nt
Filed under: Dyella terrae
Lineage: Bacteria; Pseudomonadati; Pseudomonadota; Gammaproteobacteria; Lysobacterales; Rhodanobacteraceae
Also listed under: 1 other name
Description: Standard tmRNA
Rfam family: transfer-messenger RNA
About the family: Bacterial tmRNA, also known as 10Sa RNA or SsrA, is named for its dual tRNA and mRNA-like properties. Its role is to liberate the mRNA from a stalled ribosome. To accomplish this part of the tmRNA is used as a reading frame that ends in a translation stop signal.
Source: RNAcentral